RNAcentral lists this ribosomal RNA (440 nucleotides) under uncultured bacterium. RNAcentral's name for it is "partial 16S ribosomal RNA". It matches the Rfam family "Bacterial small subunit ribosomal RNA", at positions 338 to 795 of the family's 1533-position model. The record is from RNAcentral.
CCUACGGGAGGCAGCAGUGGGGAAUAUUGCACAAUGGGGGAAACCCUGAUGCAGCGACGCCGCGUGAGUGAAGAAGUAUUUCGGUAUGUAAAGCUCUAUCAGCAGGGAAGAAAAUGACGGUACCUGAUUAAGAAGCCCCGGCUAACUACGUGCCAGCAGCCGCGGUAAUACGUAGGGGGCAAGCGUUAUCCGGAUUGACUGGGUGUAAAGGGGGCGUUGACGGCAGCACAAGUCUGGAGUGAAAUGCCGGGGCAUAACCCCCGAACUGCUUUGGAAACUGUGAAGCUAGAGUGCAGGAUGGGUAAGUGGAAUUUCUAGUGGAGCGGUGAAAUGCGUAGAUAUUAGAAGGAACACCAAUGGCGAAGGCGGCUUACUGGACUGUAACUGACGUUGAGGCUCGAAAGCGUGGGGAGCAAACAGGAUUAGAUACCCUUGUAGUC